UGGGGAAUAUUGCACAAUGGGCGAAAGCCUGAUGCAGCGACGCCGCGUGAGGGAUGACGGCCUUCGGGUUGUAAACCUCUUUCAGCAGGGAAGAAGCGAAAGUGACGGUACCUGCAGAAGAAGCGCCGGCUAACUACGUGCCAGCAGCCGCGGUAAUACGGAGGGGGCGAGCGUUAUUCGGAAUUAUUGGGCGUAAAGGGCGCGUAGGCGGCCCGGUAAGUCAAAGGUGAAAUCCCUCGGCUCAACUGAGGAACUGCCUUUGGAACUGUCGGGCUUGAGGCCGGGAGGGGGUAGCGGAAUUCCCAGUGUAGCGGUGAAAUGCGUAGAUAUUGGGAGGAACACCGGUGGCGAAGGCGGCUACCUGGACCGGUUCUGACGCUGAGGCGCGAAAGCGUGGGUAGCAAA
This 405-nucleotide ribosomal RNA is filed under the name uncultured bacterium. RNAcentral describes it as "bacterial SSU rRNA". It matches the Rfam family "Bacterial small subunit ribosomal RNA", at positions 355 to 772 of the family's 1533-position model. The record is from RNAcentral.